GAUGAACGCUGGCGGCGUGCCUAAUACAUGCAAGUCGAACGAAACUUCUUUAUCACCGAGUGCUUGCACUCACCGAUAAAGAGUUGAGUGGCGAACGGGUGAGUAACACGUGGGCAACCUGCCCAAAAGAGGGGGAUAACACUUGGAAACAGGUGCUAAUACCGCAUAACCAUAGUUACCGCAUGGUAACUAUGUAAAAGGUGGCUAUACUACCGCUUUUGGAUGGGCCCGCGGCGCAUUAGCUAGUUGGUAGGGUAAAGGCUUACCAAGGCAGUGAUGCGUAGCCGAAUUGAGAGGUUGAUCGGCCACAUUGGGACUGAGACACGGCCCAAACUCCUACGGGAGGCAGCAGUAGGGAAUCUUCCACAAUGGGCGAAAGCCUGAUGGAGCAACGCCGCGUGGGUGAAGAAGGUCUUCGGAUCGUAAAACCCUGUUGUUAGAGAAGAAAGUGCGUGAGAGUAACUGUUCACGUUUCGACGGUAUCUAACCAGAAAGCCACGGCUAACUACGUG
This 512-nucleotide ribosomal RNA is filed under the name uncultured bacterium. RNAcentral describes it as "partial 16S ribosomal RNA". It matches the Rfam family "Bacterial small subunit ribosomal RNA", at positions 28 to 507 of the family's 1533-position model. The record is from RNAcentral.